AAAUGUACCGGGGCUAAACAUAUUACCGAAACUGUGGAUGAACCUCUUUAGAGGUUCGUGGUAGGAGAGCGUUCUAAGGGCGGUGAAGUCAGACCGGAAGGACUGGUGGAGCGCUUAGAAGUGAGAAUGCCGGUAUGAGUAGCGAAAGAAGGGUGAGAAUCCCUUCCACCGAAUAUCUAAGGUUUCCUGAGGAAGGCUCGUCCGCUCAGGGUUAGUCGGGACCUAAGCCGAGGCCGAUAGGCGUAGGCGAUGGACAACAGGUAGAGAUUCCUGUACCAGUGCUAAUUGUUUAACCGAUGGGGUGACACAGAAGGAUAGGGAAUCGCACGAAUGGAAAUGUGCGUCCAAGCAGUGAGUGUGAGAAGUAGGCAAAUCCGCUUCUCGCGAAGCAUGAGCUGUGAUGGGGAAGGAAAUUAAGUACGGAAGUUCCUGAUUUCACGCUGUCAAGAAAAGCCUCUAGGAAGAGUAGUACUGCCCGUACCGCAAACCGACACAGGUAGAUGAGGAGAGAAUCCUAAGGUGAGCGAGAGAACUCUCGUUAAGGAACUCGGCAAAAUGACCCCGUAACUUCGGGAGAAGGGGUGCUCUAUUAGGGUGCAAGCCCGAGAGAGCCGCAGUGAAUAGGCCCAGGCGACUGUUUAGCAAAAACACAGGUCUCUGCAAAACCGUAAGGUGACGUAUAGGGGCUGACGCCUGCCCGGUGCUGGAAGGUUAAGAGGAGUGCUUAGCUUCGGCGAAGGUACGAAUUGAAGCCCCAGUAAACGGCGGCCGUAACUAUAACGGUCCUAAGGUAGCGAAAUUCCUUGUCGGGUAAGUUCCGACCCGCACGAAAGGCGCAACGAUCUGGGCACUGUCUCAACGAGAGACUCGGUGAAAUUAUAGUACCUGUGAAGAUGCAGGUUACCCGCGACAGGACGGAAAGACCCCGUGGAGCUUUACUGCAACCUGAUAUGGAAUGUUUGUACCGCUUGUACAGGAUAGGUAGGAGCCGAAGAGACG
This 999-nucleotide ribosomal RNA is filed under the name Listeria monocytogenes. RNAcentral's name for it is "bacterial LSU rRNA". It matches the Rfam family "Bacterial large subunit ribosomal RNA", at positions 1168 to 2164 of the family's 2925-position model. The record is from RNAcentral. Lineage: Bacteria; Bacillati; Bacillota; Bacilli; Caryophanales; Listeriaceae.